GAUCGAUGGCUCGAGGACGAACGCUGGCGGCGUGCUUAACACAUGCAAGUCGAACGAUGAAGCUGGAGCUUGCUCCAGUGGAUUAGUGGCGAACGGGUGAGUAACACGUGAGCAAUCUGCCCUUGACUCUGGGAUAACUGCGGGAAACUGUAGCUAAUACCGGAUACGACACCUUGGGGCAUCCCGAGGUGUGGAAAGAAUUUCGGUCAAGGAUGGACUCGCGGCCUAUCAGCUAGUUGGUGAGGUAACGGCUCACCAAGGCGACGACGGGUAGCCGGCCUGAGAGGGUGACCGGCCACACUGGGACUGAGACACGGCCCAGACUCCUACGGGAGGCAGCAGUGGGGAAUAUUGCACAAUGGGCGCAAGCCUGAUGCAGCAACGCCGCGUGAGGGAUGACGGCCUUCGGGUUGUAAACCUCCUUUAGUAGGGAAGAAGCGAAAGUGACGGUACCUGCAGAAAAAGCACCGGCUAACUACGUG
This 482-nucleotide ribosomal RNA is filed under the name uncultured bacterium. RNAcentral describes it as "bacterial SSU rRNA". It matches the Rfam family "Bacterial small subunit ribosomal RNA", at positions 26 to 507 of the family's 1533-position model. The record is from RNAcentral.